ACGGAAGGCAGCAGUGGGGGAUAUUGCACAAUGGGGGAAACCCUGAUGCAGCAACGCCGCGUGAGGGAAGAAGGUUUUCGGAUUGUAAACCUCUGUCCUAGGUGAAGAAAAUGACGGUAGCCUAGGAGGAAGCUCCGGCUAACUACGUGCCAGCAGCCGCGGUAAUACGUAGGGAGCGAGCGUUGUCCGGAUUUACUGGGUGUAAAGGGUGCGUAGGCGGAAAGACAAGUCAGUAGUGAAAUCUAUGGGCUUAACCCAUAGCGUGCUAUUGAAACUGUUUUCCUUGAGUGAGUCAGAGGCAGGCGGAAUUCCCGGUGUAGCGGUGAAAUGCAUAGAGAUCGGGAGGAACACCAGUGGCGAAGGCGGCCUGCUGGGGCUUAACUGACGCUGAGGCACGAAAGCGUGGGGAGCAAACAGGAUUAGAUACCCUGGUA
Molecule: ribosomal RNA, 434 nt
Filed under: uncultured Clostridium sp.
Lineage: Bacteria; Bacillati; Bacillota; Clostridia; Eubacteriales; Clostridiaceae
Description: partial 16S ribosomal RNA
Rfam family: Bacterial small subunit ribosomal RNA
Source: RNAcentral